UACGGGGGGGGCAAGCGUUGUUCGGAAUUACUGGGCGUAAAGGGCUCGUAGGUGGCCAACUAAGUCAGACGUGAAAUCCCUCAGCUUAACUGGGGAACUGCGUGUGAUACUGGAUGGCUUGGAUUUGGGAGAGGGAUGCGGAAUUCCAGGUGUAGCGGUGAAAUGCGUAGAUAUCUGGAGGAACACCGGUGGCGAAGGCGGCAUCCUGGACCAAUAUUGACGCUGAGGAGCGAAAGCUAGGGGAGCAAACGGG
This 253-nucleotide ribosomal RNA is filed under the name uncultured bacterium. Its description in RNAcentral is "partial 16S ribosomal RNA". It matches the Rfam family "Bacterial small subunit ribosomal RNA", at positions 524 to 776 of the family's 1533-position model. The record is from RNAcentral.